AUUGAACGCUGGCGGCAGGCCUAACACAUGCAAGUCGAGCGGAGCGGCGGACGGGUGAGUAAUGCCUAGGAAUCUGCCUGGUAGUGGGGGAUAACGUCCGGCAAGGGGCGCUAAUACCGCAUACUUUCAGAUGAGCCUCGGUCGCAUUGGCUAGGUGGUGGGUUAAAGGCUUACCAAGGCGACGAUCCGUACCUGGUCUGAGAGGAUGAUCAGUCACACUGGAACUGAGACACGGUCCAGACGCCUACGUGAGGCAGCAGUAGGGAAUAUUGGACAAUGGACGAAAGCCUGAUCCAGCCACGCCGCGUGUGUGAAGAAGGUUUUCGGAUUGUAAAGCACUUUAAUUAGAGAGGCGGUACCUACAGAAAAAGCACCGGCUAACUACGUGCCAGCAGCCGCGGUAAUAC
Molecule: ribosomal RNA, 407 nt
Filed under: uncultured bacterium
Lineage: Bacteria
Description: partial 16S ribosomal RNA
Rfam family: Bacterial small subunit ribosomal RNA
Source: RNAcentral